CAAGUUUGCAAAAUCACCGUUUCAAUUUUCUAAUCAAAUCACCCCCAAAAUGGAUCACCAAAUACUACUCGCACCAAAAGCACAAUGACGGAUCUGAAACCGAACGUCCAACCAUCAUCUUCUCUAUCUUCACAUGAUGCUGUAGUUCAAUCGUUCUCCAUUUAAAAUCAAUUCCAGUAAAAGAAUAAUCGACGGUGUUGAAUAAUGGUUCUGAUUCGAAGGUUUCGACAUCAAUACGGCUUCGAGCGACCUGAGGCGCCACAUUCACUAUGAAAUAGUCACCUUCAAUCGGCACUGCUAGUGAAGCUGGCAAAGAACUCUGUCAUGAAAAGACGCUGAAUUUUGAAGAUUUUAGGGAGCUGAAUUUGAAGCCAAAUUCGGGAAGCUUGUUGAACUCGGGUUCAGCAGAGAUGCAGUUAUACAAGCUCUAAAGCUUUUUGAUGGUUGAUCCAAAAUUUGAUUUGGAUAUGAAUUAAGAUGAUGCGGAAGACGAGUGUUGCAACUAUAGACGGGUCAAGCAUAUAUAUGUUGACAAGUAUGUGUUCAAGCCCUUUAUCUCGGUCUACUAGGAUGAACAUCUGUUAGAUGUGCAAAUUACCAUAGCAUGGGGUCUACAAGUAGCAUGAAUAAAACACUUGGGAGGAUUAUACAACAAUAAAACCGGUCACAAGUUACAAGUUUACUCCUCACCACAACAGCGGUAAUGUGGCCAUGAAACCAUGGAUGCAAAUUUGCAGCACUUUUGGGUCUAAAACAGUGAGUAGAUGGACUUGAAGAAAACAAUCUGGAAAUAGUUUCUAGUUUAUAUGUAAAGUCAUUUUUCGGUGUAACAUUUGUAGAUAGGUUCUGAUUAGAAGUUAAUGUUUUUAAUUAGUAUUAGUAUUUAAAUUGAAAACUUAUGUAUGGAUUGGGUUAUUAUUGUUAAUAUCAUUUGGUUUUUAGUU
RNAcentral lists this long non-coding RNA (944 nucleotides) under Helianthus annuus (common sunflower). RNAcentral describes it as "hypothetical non coding rna". Lineage: Eukaryota; Viridiplantae; Streptophyta; Magnoliopsida; Asterales; Asteraceae. The record is from RNAcentral.